Molecule: ribosomal RNA, 496 nt
Filed under: uncultured bacterium
Lineage: Bacteria
Description: bacterial SSU rRNA
Rfam family: Bacterial small subunit ribosomal RNA
Source: RNAcentral
GACGAACGCUGGCGGCGUGCCUAAUACAUGCAAGUCGAGCGGAGUUAGAGAAGCUUGCUUCUCUAACUUAGCGGCGGACGGGUGAGUAACACGUGGGCAAUCUGCCCGUAAGACUGGGAUAACUCCGGGAAACCGGGGCUAAUACCGGAUAAUCCUGACUCUCUCCUGAGAGUCAGUUGAAAGAUGGUUUCGGCUAUCACUUACGGAUGAGCCCGCGGCGCAUUAGCUAGUUGGUAGGGUAAUGGCCUACCAAGGCGACGAUGCGUAGCCGACCUGAGAGGGUGAUCGGCCACACUGGGACUGAGACACGGCCCAGACUCCUACGGGAGGCAGCAGUAGGGAAUCUUCCGCAAUGGACGAAAGUCUGACGGAGCAACGCCGCGUGAGUGAAGAAGGUUUUCGGAUCGUAAAACUCUGUUGUUAGGGAAGAAUACGUACGAGAGUAACUGCUCGUACCUUGACGGUACCUAACCAGAAAGCCACGGCUAACUACGUG